AGUGAACGCUGGCGGUAGGCCUAACACAUGCAAGUCGAACGGCAGCACAGUAAGAGCUUGCUCUUACGGGUGGCGAGUGGCGGACGGGUGAGGAAUACAUCGGAAUCUACUUUUUCGUGGGGGAUAACGUAGGGAAACUUCCGCUAAUACCGCAUACGACCUCCGGGUGAAAUCAGGGGAUCUUCGGACCUUGCGCGAUUGAAUGAGCCGAUGUCGGAUUAGCUAGUUGGCGGGGUAAAGGCCCACCAAGGCGACGAUCCGUAGCUGGUCUGAGAGGAUGAUCAGCCACACUGGAACUGAGACACGGUCCAGACUCCUACGGGAGGCAGCAGUGGGGAAUAUUGGACAAUGGGCGCAAGCCUGAUCCAGCCAUACCGCGUGGGUGAAGAAGGCCUUCGGGUUGUAAAGCCCUUUUGUUGGGAAAGAAAAGCAGCAGGUUAAUACCCCGCUGUUCUGACGGUACCCAAAGAAUAAGCACCGGCUAGCUUCGUG
Molecule: ribosomal RNA, 492 nt
Filed under: uncultured bacterium
Lineage: Bacteria
Description: partial 16S ribosomal RNA
Rfam family: Bacterial small subunit ribosomal RNA
Source: RNAcentral